Turdus rufiventris (rufous-bellied thrush) is the source of this 85-nucleotide non-coding RNA. The record is from the annotation of a GenBank genome assembly. Lineage: Eukaryota; Metazoa; Chordata; Aves; Passeriformes; Turdidae.
GGCUGUGAUGGUUGAGGGGUGAAGACGUUGGACUCGUGAUCCAUUUAGGUGUUCCUUGCACAGGAUCGAAUCCUGUUCUUAGCCA